GUUCCUCAGUUGCAGUGAGAUGUGAGGCACUUGCAGAGACUCAGUCCACCACCCUGGGCAGCUUUCACCACCCUGGGCAGCUUUUCCGAGACGUAGGGACUGGCUUGCCGUAAUUCAUAGCUUCUGCUGUCCCUUGCUACAUACCUGAUUUUCUGUUUACUUUUGCUCAGAAGCUUGACAAAAAUGUCCUUAGAUCCUAGAUGAAAAUGAGACCAGAAGAUGGAAGAAUCUGGAUCUCAAAAGGUAACCUGCCAACAAAGAACACCCAUAUUGAACUGUCACAUAAAUAAGAAAUCAAUUUCUAUUG
This 307-nucleotide long non-coding RNA is filed under the name Homo sapiens (human). RNAcentral describes it as "HSALNT0368677". The record is from RNAcentral. Lineage: Eukaryota; Metazoa; Chordata; Mammalia; Primates; Hominidae.